RNAcentral lists this long non-coding RNA (530 nucleotides) under Homo sapiens (human). Its description in RNAcentral is "PREDICTED lncRNA (TCONS_00227142)". The record is from RNAcentral. Lineage: Eukaryota; Metazoa; Chordata; Mammalia; Primates; Hominidae.
CUGGUAGAUAUUUUCUUUCUUCAUUUUUUUACAUGUCCUGGAAUGGUUCAGCAACCUAAUAAUGUUUUAUCAAUCCUCGUGAGCACUUCUCUCAGAUCCUGGCUUUCAUGCAUGUCCGUGUGAAGAGACCACCAAACAGGCUUUGUGUGAGCAACAUGGCUGUUUAUUUCACCUGGGUGCAGGUGGGCUGAGUCCGAAGAGAGUCAGCGAAGGGAGAUAAGGGUGGAGCCAUUUCAUAGGAUUCGGAGGGAGUCUUGCUCUGUCAUCCAGGCUGGAGUGCAGUGGCACGAUCUUGGCUCACUGCAACCUCCACCUCCCAGGUUCAAGCAAUUCUCCUGUCUCAGCCUCCUGAGUAGCUGCAACUACAGGAGGCAGAAAAAAAUCUAGGAUGUAACUCUGGUCCUGCCUACGGAAAGAUGGGUAGCUUUCUGUCAUCACUGCUCUGGGUCUUGGUUUCUUCUUUUUUAAAAUAAAGAAGCUGAAUUGGAAUCAAUAGUUUAUAAACUGUAUUACUAAUAAAACCCUUUUUA